GUGAUGAGUGCGUUGGUGAACGAGAGGUGAGUGGCGACGGACGGGCUGA
RNAcentral lists this small nucleolar RNA (49 nucleotides) under Pyrobaculum neutrophilum V24Sta. RNAcentral describes it as "PNEsR25". The record is from RNAcentral. Lineage: Archaea; Thermoproteati; Thermoproteota; Thermoprotei; Thermoproteales; Thermoproteaceae.